UCCCGGGUUCAAGCAAUUCUCCUGCCUCAGCCUCCCGAAUAGCUGGGAUUAGAGGCAUGCACCGCCACGCCUGACUAAUUUUGUAUUUUUAGUAGAGAUGGGGUUUCUCCAUGUUGGCUUGGCUGGUCUCAAACUCCUGACCUCAGGUGAUCCACCCGCCUUGGCCUCCCAAACUGCUGGGAUCAUAGGCAUGAGCCACCAGGCCUGGCCCACAGCAUAGUAACUAUUUAGUAAUAAAUUAUAUAGAUUGGAUUGUGGGGCCCAUCUUUCACGUCUGCCCCGUAUACCCUGACAGAAUCCACUUGGCUAGUUUGGGUACUCAAAUAUGGACCACCAGAUGGUGAGUUGCUGCCUGAAAUGUGUGAAGAAACAAGCUAGACUCUAGGAGACAGGACUUGCAUAUUUUAAUGGAAACAAUAGGUGCAAGGUCAUAGGAAGUGUCUUUUUAUAAACAGCUUCACAGCCUUGGCACAGUGGAGAGCACAUUGUCAGACUGAGAUUGAAUGAAUAAACAGUUGGAAAUUAACUUUUGUGGGGCAUCAUUUACCUAAUCAAGUGGACACUGGAGACCAUCAUUUUGUUGGAGUGAGUUUUUUUGUUUUUUUGCAUUGUGUAGGAGAUAGUGAGAAGUGAAGCCAGCUGGACUUCUGGGUCGGGUGGGGACUUGGAGAACUUUUCUGUCUUACAAAAGGAUUGUAAAAUGCACGAAUCAGCACUCUGUAACUAGGAUUGUAAAAUGCACCAAUCAGUGGUCUGUAGCUAGCUAGAGGUUUGUAAAAUGGACCAAUCAGCAUUCUGUAAAAUGGACCAAUCAGCACUCUGUAAAAUGGACCAAUCAGCAUUCUGUAAAAUGAACCAAUCAGCAGGACAUGGGCAGGGACAAAUAAGAGAAUAAAAGCUGGCCACCCCAGCCAGCAGCAGCAACCCGCUUGGGUCCCCUUCCAUGCUGUGGAAGCUUUGUUCUUUCGCUUUUCACAAUAAAUCUUGCUGCUGCUCACUUUUUGGGUCUGUGCCACCUUUAAGAGCUGUAACACCGUGAAGGUCCGUGGCUUCGUUCUUGAAGUCAGCGAGACCAAGAAUGCACCAGAAGAAACCAACUCUGGACACAUCUUGGCAACCCAGAUGGGACUAUUGCCAAGUGGAUCAAUGCCAUCAAGCUACAGAUGGUCUUACAAAUGGAACCCCAAACGAGCUCAACUAACAACUUCUACCGAGGACCCCUGGACCAACCCACUGACCCUUUGGCUGGCCUAGAGAGUUUCCCUCUGGAGGAUACUACCACUGCAGGGCCCCUUCGCCCCCAUCCAGCAGGAAGUAGCUAGAGUGGUCAUCGCCCAAUUUCCAACAGCAGUUGGGGUGUCCUGUUUAGAGGGGAGAUUGAGAGGUGAAGCCAGCUGGACUUUUGGGUCAGGUGGGGACUUGGAGAACUUUUCUGUCUUACAAGAGGAUUGUAAAAUGUGCCAAUUAGCACUCUGUAGCUAGGAUUGUAAAACGCACCAAUCAGCACUCUGUAGCUAGCUAGAGGUUUGUAAAAUGAACCAAUCAGCACUCUGUAAAAUGGACCAAACAGCAGGACAUGGGCGGUGACCCCAGGAAAUAAAAGCUGGCCACCCCAGCCAGCAGCA
Long non-coding RNA from Pan troglodytes (chimpanzee), 1625 nucleotides. RefSeq lists it as uncharacterized. The transcript is spliced from 2 exons. Lineage: Eukaryota; Metazoa; Chordata; Mammalia; Primates; Hominidae. The record is from RefSeq and is a predicted model, not a curated record.